GAUGAACGCUGGCGGCGUGCCUAAUACAUGCAAGUCGAGCGAACGGACGAGAAGCUUGCUUCUCUGAUGUUAGCGGCGGACGGGUGAGUAACACGUGGAUAACCUACCUAUAAGACUGGGAUAACUUCGGGAAACCGGAGCUAAUACCGGAUAAUAUUUUGAACCGCAUGGUUCAAAAGUGAAAGACGGUCUUGCUGUCACUUAUAGAUGGAUCCGCGCUGCAUUAGCUAGUUGGUAAGGUAACGGCUUACCAAGGCAACGAUGCAUAGCCGACCUGAGAGGGUGAUCGGCCACACUGGAACUGAGACACGGUCCAGACUCCUACGGGAGGCAGCAGUAGGGAAUCUUCCGCAAUGGGCGAAAGCCUGACGGAGCAACGCCGCGUGAGUGAUGAAGGUCUUCGGAUCGUAAAACUCUGUUAUUAGGGAAGAACAUAUGUGUAAGUAACUGUGCACAUCUUGACGGUACCUAAUCAGAAAGCCACGGCUAACUACGUGCCAGCAGCCGCGGUAAUACGUAGGUGGCAAGCGUUAUCCGGAAUUAUUGGGCGUAAAGCGCGCGUAGGCGGUUUUUUAAGUCUGAUGUGAAAGCCCACGGCUCAACCGUGGAGGGUCAUUGGAAACUGGAAAACUUGAGUGCAGAAGAGGAAAGUGGAAUUCCAUGUGUAGCGGUGAAAUGCGCAGAGAUAUGGAGGAACACCAGUGGCGAAGGCGACUUUCUGGUCUGUAACUGACGCUGAUGUGCGAAAGCGUGGGGAUCAAACAGGAUUAGAUACCCUGGUAGUCCACGCCGUAAACGAUGAGUGCUAAGUGUUAGGGGGUUUCCGCCCCUUAGUGCUGCAGCUAACGCAUUAAGCACUCCGCCUGGGGAGUACGACCGCAAGGUUGAAACUCAAAGGAAUUGACGGGGACCCGCACAAGCGGUGGAGCAUGUGGUUUAAUUCGAAGCAACGCGAAGAACCUUACCGAAUCUUGACAUCCUUUGACAACUCUAGAGAUAGAGCCUUCCCCUUCGGGGGACAAAGUGACAGGUGGUGCAUGGUUGUCGUCAGCUCGUGUCGUGAGAUGUUGGGUUAAGUCCCGCAACGAGCGCAACCCUUAAGCUUAGUUGCCAUCAUUAAGUUGGGCACUCUAAGUUGACUGCCGGUGACAAACCGGAGGAAGGUGGGGAUGACGUCAAAUCAUCAUGCCCCUUAUGAUUUGGGCUACACACGUGCUACAAUGGACAAUACAAAGGGCAGCGAAACCGCGAGGUCAAGCAAAUCCCAUAAAGUUGUUCUCAGUUCGGAUUGUAGUCUGCAACUCGACUACAUGAAGCUGGAAUCGCUAGUAAUCGUAGAUCAGCAUGCUACGGUGAAUACGUUCCCGGGUCU
This 1372-nucleotide ribosomal RNA is filed under the name uncultured bacterium. Its description in RNAcentral is "bacterial SSU rRNA". It matches the Rfam family "Bacterial small subunit ribosomal RNA", at positions 28 to 1381 of the family's 1533-position model. The record is from RNAcentral.